This 512-nucleotide ribosomal RNA is filed under the name uncultured bacterium. RNAcentral describes it as "partial 16S ribosomal RNA". It matches the Rfam family "Bacterial small subunit ribosomal RNA", at positions 28 to 507 of the family's 1533-position model. The record is from RNAcentral.
GAUGAACGCUGGCGGCGUGCCUAAUACAUGCAAGUCGAACGAAACUUCUUUAUCACCGAGUGCUUGCACUCACCGAUAAAGAGUUGAGUGGCGAACGGGUGAGUAACACGUGGGCAACCUGCCCAAAAGAGGGGGAUAAUACUUGGAAACAGGUGCUAAUACCGCAUAACCAUAGUUACCGCAUGGUAACUAUGUAAAAGGUGGCUAUACUACCGCCUUUGGAUGGGCCCGCGGCGCAUUAGCUAGUUGGUAGGGUAAAGGCUUACCAAGGCAAUGAUGCGUAGCCGAAUUGAGAGGUUGAUCGGCCACAUUGGGACUGAGACACGGCCCAGACUCCUACGGGAGGCAGCAGUAGGGAAUCUUCCACAAUGGGCGAAAGCCUGAUGGAGCAACGCCGCGUGGGUGAAGAAGGUCUUCGGAUCGUAAAGCCCUGUUGUUAGAGAAGAAAGUGCGUGAGAGUAACUGUUCACGUUUCGACGGUAUCUAACCAGAAAGCCCCGGCUAACUACGUG